CUACGGGGUGCUCCAGUGAGGAAUAUUGCACAAUGGGGGGAACCCUGAUGCAGCAACGCCGCGUGGAGGAUGACGCAUUUCGGUGUGUAAACUCCUUUUAUAUGUCAAGAAAAUGACGGUAGCAUAUGAAUAAGCACCGGCUAACUCCGUGCCAGCAGGCCGCGGUAAUACGGAGGGUGCAAGCGUUACUCGGAAUCACUGGGCGUAAAGGACGCGUAGGCGGGUUGGAAAGUCAGGUGUGAAAUCCUACAGCUUAACUGUAGAGCUGCACUUGAAACUUCUAAUCUAGAGUAUGGGAGGGGGAGAUGGAAUUAGUGGUGUAGGGGUAAAAUCCGUAGAUAUCACUAGGAAUACCUAAAGCGAAGGCGAUCUCCUGGAACAUUACUGACGCUAAGGCGUGAAAGCGUGGGGAGCAAACAGGAUUAGAUACCCGGGUAGUC
This 440-nucleotide ribosomal RNA is filed under the name uncultured bacterium. Its description in RNAcentral is "partial 16S ribosomal RNA". It matches the Rfam family "Bacterial small subunit ribosomal RNA", at positions 339 to 795 of the family's 1533-position model. The record is from RNAcentral.